Molecule: small nuclear RNA, 124 nt
Organism: Nomia melanderi (Alkali bee)
Lineage: Eukaryota; Metazoa; Arthropoda; Insecta; Hymenoptera; Halictidae
Product: U5 spliceosomal RNA
Source: RefSeq, a predicted model, not a curated record
UCACUCUGGUUUCCCUUCAAAUCACGUAUAAAUCUUUCGCCUUUUACUAAAGAUUUCCGUGGAGGGAAACAACUGAUGAGUCUAUGAAAUCAUUUUUUAUAGUACCCAACUUUUUAAGUUGGGU